AUUGAACGCUGGCGGCAGGCCUAACACAUGCAAGUCGAGCGGAUGAAGGGAGCUUGCUCCUGGAUUCAGCGGCGGACGGGUGAGUAAUGCCUAGGAAUCUGCCUGGUAGUGGGGGAUAACGUCCGGAAACGGGCGCUAAUACCGCAUACGUCCUGAGGGAGAAAGUGGGGGAUCUUCGGACCUCACGCUAUCAGAUGAGCCUAGGUCGGAUUAGCUAGUUGGUGGGGUAAAGGCCUACCAAGGCGACGAUCCGUACUGGUCUGAGAGGAUGAUCAGUCACACUGGAACUGAGACACGGUCCAGACUCCUACGGGAGGCAGCAGUGGGGAAUAUUGGACAAUGGGCGAAAGCCUGAUCCAGCCAUGCCGCGUGCGUGAAGAAGGUCUUCGGAUUGUAAAGCACUUUAAGUUGGGAGGAAGGGCAGUAAGUUAAUACCUUGCUGUUUUGACGUUACCAACAGAAUAAGCACCGGCUAACUUCGUG
RNAcentral lists this ribosomal RNA (483 nucleotides) under uncultured bacterium. Its description in RNAcentral is "partial 16S ribosomal RNA". It matches the Rfam family "Bacterial small subunit ribosomal RNA", at positions 30 to 507 of the family's 1533-position model. The record is from RNAcentral.